GACGAACGCUGGCGGCGUGCUUAACACAUGCAAGUCGAGCGGUAAGGCCCUUUCGGGGGUACACGAGCGGCGAACGGGUGAGUAACACGUGGGUGACCUGCCCUCAGCUCUGGGAUAAGCCUGGGAAACCGGGUCUAAUACCGGAUAUGACUCCAUGACGCAUGUUGUGGGGUGGAAAGCCUUGUGCGGCUGAGGAUGGGCCCGCGGCCUAUCAGCUCGUUGGUGGGGUGAUGGCCUACCAAGGCGACGACGGGUAGCCGGCCUGAGAGGGCGACCGGCCACACUGGGACUGAGACACGGCCCAGACUCCUACGGGAGGCAGCAGUGGGGAAUCUUGCGCAAUGGGCGAAAGCCUGACGCAGCGACGCCGCGUGAGGGAUGACGGCCUGGUGUAAC
This 396-nucleotide ribosomal RNA is filed under the name uncultured bacterium. Its description in RNAcentral is "bacterial SSU rRNA". It matches the Rfam family "Bacterial small subunit ribosomal RNA", at positions 28 to 429 of the family's 1533-position model. The record is from RNAcentral.